GUCCUCGUGGCGCAAUUGGAUAGCGCGUUGGCCUCCGAAGCCAAAGGUUGCAGGUUCGAAUCUUGCCGGGGACG
This 74-nucleotide transfer RNA is filed under the name Deltaproteobacteria bacterium. RNAcentral describes it as "tRNA-Arg". It matches the Rfam family "tRNA". Rfam says of the family: Transfer RNA (tRNA) molecules are approximately 80 nucleotides in length. RNAcentral also lists the same sequence under 2 other names. Lineage: Bacteria; Pseudomonadati; Myxococcota; Myxococcia. The record is from RNAcentral.